Molecule: long non-coding RNA, 1379 nt
Filed under: Phasianus colchicus (ring-necked pheasant)
Lineage: Eukaryota; Metazoa; Chordata; Aves; Galliformes; Phasianidae
Description: lncRNA (ENSPCLG00000016737.1)
Source: RNAcentral
UGUUCCCAUGAUGCAGAGAUUGGGACCCCCCCCACUGUCCCCUGGGUGUCCCCCUGGGUGUCCCCUGGGUGUCCCUUGGGUGUCCCCACGUUCAUGGGCUUGGGAUCCCCCCCCACUGUCCCCUGGGUGUCCCCAUGUCAUGGACUUGGGACCCCCAGUGUCCCUGGGUGCCCCUUCGAGUGUCCCCAUGUCACCCAGUGUUCCUGUGAUGCAGAGAUUGGGACCCCCCCCCACUGUCCCCUGGGUGUCCCCAUGGUGUCCCCACAGAAUCACAGAAUGGUUGGGUUGGAAGGGACCUCAAGGAUGAUGAAUCUCCAACCCCCUGCUGCAUGCAGGGCCACCAACCUCCCCAUUUCCUGCCAGCCCAGGCUGCCCAGGGCCCCAUCCAACCUGGCCUCCAACACCUCCAAGGAUGGACGGGGCACCAACAGCCUCUCUGUGCAGCUGUUCCAGCACCUCACCGCUCUCACAGCAAACAAUUUCUCCCUGACAUCCAACCUCAAUCAACUCCAAACCGUUUCCCCUCAUCCUGCAGUGAUCAACCCUUUCCAAGAGUCGAUUCCCCUCCUGUUUUCAGGCUCCCUUGAGGUGCUGAAGGCUGCAAUGAUUCACCCCGCAGUUUUCUCUUCUCCAUGCUGAACAAGCCCAGCUCCCUCAGCCUGUCCUCACAGUGGAGGUGCUGCAGCCCCCCUGCUCAUCUUGGUGGCUCCUCUGGACCCUCCCCAACAGCUCCCUGUUGGAAACCCCACCUUCAUGCCCUCCACGUAGACGGGGUUGAGACGUUCCCCCCCCAGGCGGACGGGGACCAGCAGGAUGACGGCUGCCUCAGCGUCCCCUUCCAGCAGCGCAGCCACGUCCUCUUUGUACACUGCCAAAAUUGGGGGUGGGGGGGGUUCAGCUGGGACCCCCCCCACACACAUACACACUCACCCAGGACACAAAGCGUUGGGACUUGGGGAGGAGGGGGGGCAUACAAAGCUGGGACCCCCACCGGUGCAAUCCUGCGCCACGUACACCGCCAUCCCGGACACCUCGGGGCAGCUCUCCACCGCCUUCCUGCAUCCCAAAUCUUUCAGGGUGGGGUCCCAGACCCAUCAUUUGGGGUCAGAGCCCCCCCCCCCNNNNNNNNNNNNNNNNNNNNNNNNNNNGCCAUCCUUUUGGGGUCUGACCUGAGGAUGUGUGCCACGAUGGAGGGGCCGUACCAAUCCCCUGCACGCUUCCCAGCGCCGCGGCCGAGCUCCACCAGGCGGUGGAUCCCAAAGGGGGAGUUGGGGUGGUCCCCAAAAAGGGCCACCAGGGCUCGGUGACAUCGCUCUGUAUCCUGGGGGCGAGGGGGGGGCGGACCCCCCGGGGCGUCAGCCCACGUCCAGUCUAUAAAA